This 911-nucleotide ribosomal RNA is filed under the name Penicillium sp. Its description in RNAcentral is "partial large subunit ribosomal RNA". It matches the Rfam family "Eukaryotic large subunit ribosomal RNA", at positions 34 to 964 of the family's 3401-position model. Lineage: Eukaryota; Fungi; Ascomycota; Eurotiomycetes; Eurotiales; Aspergillaceae. The record is from RNAcentral.
CUAGCAUAUCAAUAAGCGGAGGAAAAGAAACCAACAGGGAUUGCCCCAGUAACGGCGAGUGAAGCGGCAAGAGCUCAAAUUUGAAAGCUGGCUCCUUCGGGGCCCGCAUUGUAAUUUGCAGAGGAUGCUUCGGGAGCGGUCCCCAUCUAAGUGCCCUGGAACGGGCUGUCAUAGAGGGUGAGAAUCCCGUAUGGGAUGGGGUGCCCGCGCCCGUGUGAAGCUCCUUCGACGAGUCGAGUUGUUUGGGAAUGCAGCUCUAAAUGGGUGGUAAAUUUCAUCUAAAGCUAAAUAUUGGCCGGAGACCGAUAGCGCACAAGUAGAGUGAUCGAAAGAUGAAAAGCACUUUGAAAAGAGAGUUAAAAAGCACGUGAAAUUGUUGAAAGGGAAGCGUUUGCGACCAGACUCGCCUACGGGGUUCAGCCUGCCUUCGGGCAGGUGUACUUCCCCGUGGGCGGGCCAGCGUCGGUUUGGGCGGCCGGUCAAAGGCCCUCGGAAUGUAACGCCUCUCGGGGCGUCUUAUAGCCGAGGGUGCCAUGCGGCCUGCCCGGACCGAGGAACGCGCUUCGGCUCGGACGCUGGCUUAAUGGUCGUAAACGACCCGUCUUGAAACACGGACCAAGGAGUCUAACAUCUAUGCGAGUGUUCGGGUGUCAAACCCGUGCGCGCAGUGAAAGCGAACGGAGGUGGGAACCCUCACGGGUGCACCAUCGACCGAUCCUGAAGUCUUCGGAUGGAUUUGAGUAAGAGCAUAGCUGUUGGGACCCGAAAGAUGGUGAACUAUGCCUGAAUAGGGCGAAGCCAGAGGAAACUCUGGUGGAGGCUCGCAGCGGUUCUGACGUGCAAAUCGAUCGUCAAAUUUGGGUAUAGGGGCGAAAGACUAAUCGAACCAUCUAGUAGCUGGUUCCUGCCGA